This 3256-nucleotide long non-coding RNA is filed under the name Lupinus angustifolius (narrow-leaved blue lupine). RNAcentral's name for it is "long non-coding RNA (LANG_LNC000193)". The record is from RNAcentral. Lineage: Eukaryota; Viridiplantae; Streptophyta; Magnoliopsida; Fabales; Fabaceae.
GCCAAUUUCAUUAAUUGUUAAAGUUUAAGAAGUAAUUAGGAAGAAAAAAUAGUUCAUAAUACAUAUUUAAAAAUACAUAAUGUAUAUGGUGUUUUUAUAGACUUUUCCACAAAUUAAUACUAUUAGCAUUAUUAUGACUGAUUUUGGACAUGAAGUCAGCUAGCAUGUUGUCAUCUCUCCACAUAUGAUGAAAUUAUACAUUUCAUUCCUUCUCAAGAAUAUUCAAAUGUUCUUCAAAAUUUGAGCUACCCUCCCAAUGCAAACUUCCAAGUCUUUGAAGACAAUAUCUAUUACCUCCACGCAAUUACUUUUCAAGAUAACCUUUCUUAACCUCAAGCUCAAAUCUAGUCUCAAACCAAAUUCCAAAGUGUGAAGCUCUGCUAAAAUGGAAAUAUCAGUUCCAAAGCUUGUUGAAAAUCUAGGAAGCCAGUCGCCUUCAUAAUCACGCCUCUGCCACCCAUCAACUUGUCCAACACAGAAUAGCUACCAUCAACAUUAAUCUUCACAACUCCAUUCUCCGGUCUGGACCACUGGACACUAGGUUGGGGUUCACAUCUAGAGCAAGUAUCCAUAUGACACCAAGGAAUUGUCAUGGGGAUAGAGUUAUUCAACCACCUCUAAGUCCACCAGAUACAUCCAAAAACUAACCUCUCAUGAGUAGUCCUUGCAUUAGCGAAGAAUCAGGAGAUAAAAGAAUUAUUAUCACAAAAUUCAUUGUUAUUGAACCCCAAGCGUUUUCAAAGGGGCAUUAUUUUUUCACAAUCUCUAAAUAAAUGAAGGAGGUCUUCCACCUCAUGAUGACACCAAGGACGGAUAAGAGUACCCACUAAACUCCUAGAUAAAUGAAGCAAGUUAGUUGGUAGAGAAUGAUGAGUAGAGAGCCAAUAUAUAGAUUUAAUCUCUCCACUUUCUAGCUGUAAGUGAAACCUUUAUCUAACUCUAAGUUCCUCCAUAACUUUCACAAUACUCUUCUAUAUCGGAGAAGCUGACAAUUUCUUAGGAGCAAACAACAUCCAACAUUCUCCAAUAUAUUUAUUCUUCAGCUUAAAUAGAAUGUGUGGUUAGACUCUAUAAUAUAGAAAUAAGAUAUACAAUUACUUGUUUUCAAGAAAACUUUGUAGAGUCCUUAAAACAAUGAUGCUAUCUUGAAAAAAAAGCGUUAUAGAUUUAUUAUCCACUACAAUGCAUUCUUGAUAAUCUUUUAGUUGAUUCUAAAGCACAAUUCUCAAAUUUGAGAUGGUGAAGAGUCAUAACCGCUUCUUAGAGCACUCACAGUGGUAACAAAAAAAUAAUUCUUAACGAAAUAAGUACGUUCUUCGUCCAAGUUCACCACUGGAGAGGAGUCGUUUUUGUUCUUAUUUCACAACGAUAAAUUAAAUAAGCAUUUUUCUUAAAGUUGUGAGUCAACAUUAAAAAAUGGAAAAAAUUGUUACAAGAGAAAUAUAAAUGUGGAGUAGAUUUGUAUAGUCCAUUUAAGAACGAAAAUAGAGUUGCACUAUUGGAAGUAAUUUUGGCUUGAGUUAUUUAAACUGUUGGAAGGUGUAAACAAAUAUAAGAUAUUCAGUGGAGUCCAUUUAAGAACGAAAAAUGUGUUGCACCACUGUGGAUCGUCUUGUGUAAAGGCUCAAAUUUAUUCAAUUAUUCAAUUCAAAUUUCCUAACUAUGUAAACUCAACCUUACAAUUUACAUAGACACUGUAUAUGUUUUGUCGUUCUUCUUGCUUGUUCUUGUCCAUUUUUCUUAUCAUUGUUUUAAAUUUUUAAUUAUAAGGGCAAUGAGUACAAAAGUUGGGUAGGAAAAAAGAGUGGGUUAUAAUAAAGAUGCUGAAACGUUUUCUAGUUUUCUGCAGAUUCUGGCUUGGGUUGGGCUCCUGGACCUUUUAGUACUGGAGUAGGAUGAGAAAUAAUUUAUUAUAUUUUAUAUUUGUUUAAUUUAAAAAUCAAUAAAUAUUUUAAUCAAUUGAUUUUUAUGUGCCACAUGUCAAGAGAACUACCAGAGAGAUGACAUGACCUAGGUGCAUAUAUAGCAUGUGAGAAUUUGUUGAAGCAAAGCAUCCUGUCUAGCAUCAUUUGAAACCUCAAAUGGUCAUACCAGUUUUUAGUUUUAUUUCUAACAUUUUUUAUAACAUGAAAAAAAUCACCCAAAUUAGAAAAAUGUAGCACUGACAUGGAGGGUCAAAUGCAUCCAGCCUUAUCUCCAUAGAAAGAGGUUCUGCAACUUGAAUUCGUGACUAAUAAGUCACAAGACAAACAUCUUAUCAUUGAAUUCGUGACUAAUAAGUCACAAGACAAACAUCUUAUCAUUGUGUCAAGAUUCAUUAUCUUCUUAGAUUAACAAUAUUUUUUUGGUUCAUUCUUUGGUACUACCAAGUAUUCUUCAUCUUCUUGAUAUAAUCAAACUAGAACAUUUUAUGGAAUGGGAGAUAAUUUAAAAUAUUGUCCUACAAAAUGAUUCUUCUCCUAGAAAUUGGAUAUAUUGAGAAUUCUUUUUACCUCUCUCCCUGCUAUCCUAAAUGGUGUCCUACAACAAUGAUAUUGAACAAAAAAUAGAAAAAUAAUAAUAAGCAUUUAAUUUUCUAACUCACAUAUGAUUUCAUUGAUAUGGUCCCUCAGUGCUUCCUUCUCUCUCAUUUCUUCUUCUGUUCUUCUUAAGUUUCUUCUAUGUUCUUUGCUAUCUGCCUUGAUAGCCAUACUUCUUUCUAAGCAGACAUCAUUACUCAGUAAAUUCACAUGAUCCACUUUAUUUCUUUCUGCUAUUGCAUGAUGGCUUUAAUACAAUAUCAAAUAUUUGUCCAUAAUUAGUGGAGUGUUAACAGGUAAGAAACAUGUGAAAUUUUGGUAUAUUUGGUAUAAUGUAUAUGAGCUCUAGCUAAGUAAUGGAUUGAAUAUGAGUUGUAGCUAAGUAAUGGAUUGAAUGUAAGAGGGUGUAGGAAUGGUAUAGAAUGGCAUAUAAAGUAGAAAGGGAAGGGAAUACAUGGAACAAAACAAAAUUAUAUUUGUUUGGAUGAUUAAUGAGGAAAACUAAGGGAAUGGUUAUUGGUAAAGAAUGAGUUUGAAAAUGAAAUAUAACAUUCACAUACAUAAAGGAUUUUCAUUGAAGAAAAGAAAAAAUAGGUACUUUAGACUUAGUACUUACUUUCAUGAUAUACAAAUAUCCAUACUCAACAGUUAAUUAUACAUUCUCCACUUCACACCUCUGUCAUAUAGGGUAGAGGCAUUGGACUUGUUUCUUCUUGUAUAAAGAAAGACGACCUUGU